RNAcentral lists this transfer RNA (84 nucleotides) under Candidatus Improbicoccus pseudotrichonymphae. RNAcentral's name for it is "tRNA-Leu". It matches the Rfam family "tRNA". Rfam says of the family: Transfer RNA (tRNA) molecules are approximately 80 nucleotides in length. Their secondary structure includes four short double-helical elements and three loops (D, anti-codon, and T loops). The record is from RNAcentral. Lineage: Bacteria; Bacillati; Bacillota; Clostridia.
GCGAGUAUGCUGGAAUUGGUAUACAGGCACGUUUGAGGGGCGUGUGUCUUAGACGUAUGGGUUCAAGUCCCAUUACUCGCACCA